AAGGAAAUUCAACCCUCUGACGAAAGACGCACUGGCGCGUCCCAUCGAUGUUUGACAAAACUCCUGCUCAAAAAGCGAUAUUACACAAAUUCAUUUCAGACAUUUAUUUACUAUUUUAACCAUAUAUUACCAAAAGACUUUGAAAAACUCAUUUCAAGCACCGAAAGAAUCCAUAGAACACAUCAGAAGUUAAGGUUUCUUUUCAAGAGAGAUUUGAGGAAUUGCAAAAAGCCAACGUUAAGGUUUCAGCUUUAGCGGCUAAUUAUGUCUUCACACAUUGCUCUGG
Long non-coding RNA from Etheostoma spectabile (orangethroat darter), 286 nucleotides. RefSeq lists it as uncharacterized. The transcript is spliced from 3 exons. Lineage: Eukaryota; Metazoa; Chordata; Actinopteri; Perciformes; Percidae. The record is from RefSeq and is a predicted model, not a curated record.